GAUGUGGAAACUUGAUGACUUGCUUUGUGUUGCAUGAAGACUCUUGAGUGAAAGUGGGAAGGGUUCAGGAGCUGGAAUUGCCUGGAAAAGAUAAAAAAAUAUAAAACAGACAAAAAAAUCCUAAAAACUGCCCUCAGUGGCUAAAUAUUCAUCAGUCUUUAGGUAUUCAACCCAUGGCACUUUUUGUCCAGGUAUAAAGGGCACUGAUGUAGCUUCACAAUCAAGAUCUAGUAAGACAAGGAGGAACAAAAUUGUUCCACGUGAGCUCCUCAAGGAUUUCACAAGCUCCUGUGACCUGUCACAUCCACAUCAUCUGAAUGUGGGAGAAGGCAGCCUGCAGGUCCAGGGAGCAUGUAACAUCACAUAUGGAUCACACCUGAACUGGAGGGAUUCUGAAGGACAAGCCUGUCAGCAGAGAGAAGCUUUUGGCUGCAACCCAGGAAGAAGGAUUUAAAGCCAACAGACAAAAGGUUCAAUUAGUGCAACGAGAGCUUUCAACAUCCUCAAAGGCAUCUAAUUGUUCAGGACAUACUGAGGAUCUGCACUCAGAGAAAUCAAGCCUCGAGUGGAACUCCCCUGAAAGCAAAGGCACCGGGAAGCCAAGAUUGGUUUUCAGCAAGAUUACAGCGCUUAAAGGCACAUAAGGAUGAUGAGCAAGUGGAAAGGAUCUUAUGUCUUUACAUCCACAGGGAGUUCUGUGCCUCUGUCCUGUUGGCAUUAGUCAUAUUGAUAAUAGACUGUGUAGGAAAGUGCUGGAAAACACAAAAAGAAGUCGGAGCAACUCGAAUUGUCAUGGCAAUAUCCUCGAUUUUUCAAGAAGUUUGGUUCUGUUUAGCUAGUCACUUUAAUUUUCCUUCGCUAACUUGUCUCCAUUCUCUGCCAUAAUGAUAAUUCUUUCUAUGACUGUCAGCCCUUUGCAUUGUGACAGCCUAAAUUAAUGUUUUGAUAUUUCUCUCUUUGUAAGAAUACAACAAAGAAGACAACUGCCAAGGAUAGGACAGAAACUGUAUGAAUGUAAAACAGACAUUGUGCACCAAUAAAGCCAGAAGGAAUAAUUUUCACUUUA
Neopsephotus bourkii (Bourke's parrot) is the source of this 1066-nucleotide long non-coding RNA. RefSeq lists it as uncharacterized. The record is from RefSeq and is a predicted model, not a curated record. Lineage: Eukaryota; Metazoa; Chordata; Aves; Psittaciformes; Psittacidae. The transcript has 7 exons.